Molecule: ribosomal RNA, 1373 nt
Filed under: uncultured bacterium
Lineage: Bacteria
Description: bacterial SSU rRNA
Rfam family: Bacterial small subunit ribosomal RNA
Source: RNAcentral
GAUGAACGCUGGCGGCGUGCCUAAUACAUGCAAGUCGAGCGAACGGACGAGAAGCUUGCUUCUCUGAUGUUAGCGGCGGACGGGUGAGUAACACGUGGAUAACCUACCUAUAAGACUGGGAUAACAUCGGGAAACCGGAGCUAAUACCGGAUAAUAUUUUGAACCGCAUGGUUCAAAAGUGAAAGACGGUCUUGCUGUCACUUAUAGAUGGAUCCGCGCUGCAUUAGCUAGUUGGUAAGGUAACGGCUUACCAAGGCAACGAUGCAUAGCCGACCUGAGAGGGUGAUCGGCCACACUGGAACUGAGACACGGUCCAGACUCCUACGGGAGGCAGCAGUAGGGAAUCUUCCGCAAUGGGCGAAAGCCUGACGGAGCAACGCCGCGUGAGUGAUGAAGGUCUUCGGAUCGUAAAACUCUGUUAUUAGGGAAGAACAUAUGUGUAAGUAACUGUGCACAUCUUGACGGUACCUAAUCAGAAAGCCACGGCUAACUACGUGCCAGCAGCCGCGGUAAUACGUAGGUGGCAAGCGUUAUCCGGAAUUAUUGGGCGUAAAGCGCGCGUAGGCGGUUUUUUAAGUCUGAUGUGAAAGCCCACGGCUCAACCGUGGAGGGUCAUUGGAAACUGGAAAACUUGAGUGCAGAAGAGGAAAGUGGAAUUCCAUGUGUAGCGGUGAAAUGCGCAGAGAUAUGGAGGAACACCAGUGGCGAAGGCGACUUUCUGGUCUGUAACUGACGCUGAUGUGCGAAAGCGUGGGGAUCAAACAGGAUUAGAUACCCUGGUAGUCCACGCCGUAAACGAUGAGUGCUAAGUGUUAGGGGGUUUCCGCCCCUUAGUGCUGCAGCUAACGCAUUAAGCACUCCGCCUGGGGAGUACGACCGCAAGGUUGAAACUCAAAGGAAUUGACGGGGACCCGCACAAGCGGUGGAGCAUGUGGUUUAAUUCGAAGCAACGCGGAGAACCUUACCAAAUCUUGACAUCCUUUGACAACUCUAGAGAUAGAGCCUUCCCCUUCGGGGGGGCAAAGUGACAGGUGGUGCAUGGUUGUCGUCAGCUCGUGUCGUGAGAUGUUGGGUUAAGUCCCGCAACGAGCGCAACCCUUAAGCUUAGUUGCCAUCAUUAAGUUGGGCACUCUAAGUUGACUGCCGGUGACAAACCGGAGGAAGGUGGGGAUGACGUCAAAUCAUCAUGCCCCUUAUGAUUUGGGCUACACACGUGCUACAAUGGACAAUACAAAGGGCAGCGAAACCGCGAGGUCAAGCAAAUCCCAUAAAGUUGUUCUCAGUUCGGAUUGUAGUCUGCAACUCGACUACAUGAAGCUGGAAUCGCUAGUAAUCGUAGAUCAGCAUGCUACGGUGAAUACGUUCCCGGGUCU